AUGUCUUGGGACUGGACUGGCCAUAAUAGGAAAGAAAUAUUACCCUAAACAAAGGUGCUUCUAUUAUCAUACUACUUUCGAUUUACAAAGGUCUGCCAACUGGAACAGAGCCCGGUAGGAGCAAGUGCUGGGUGUUGCUGUGAGGGAAGGCUGGGGAUAUUUUUAAGGGUAGACCGAGAGCCAAGGCUUCAUCUAUUAUUUUCUUCACUUGCCAAUUACUUGAGAGCUCACAGUGUUGAAAAACACAUGCUAGCCAUGAAGAUGUGUGCCCUCCUGUCUCACAGGGCUUCUAGCUCAGAAGAGCAGGCGAUUGAGAAAGGACACUUUUGUGGGAUAGAGCCACAGAAAUUACCAAGGAGACUUAAUUGCCAAUGAUUUGCGUCUCUACCCACUUCCCACCCCUCCUAGACACGUACUAUCGGGAUGGCUAAAGAUUUAAAAACCAGACAAACAGGUACUGAUAAGGACAUGCAGUGAAAUGGAAGUCUCAUCCAUCAUUCAAGAGAACAGCAGCCAUGUUGGAAAACUGUUAGGAAAUUAACCACGCUUUACCAUGUGACUCAGAAAACCUGCUUCUUCUAAGUUUGCAAAAGAAAGAAAGAAAGAAAGAAAGAAAGAAAGAAAGAGAAAAGAAAAGAAAACUUACGGACACUGUCGCGCCCACCUCGACCGGCAAGGAAGACGCAACACCGUUGGAUCCUUCUCAAUCAGUCUUUAUUGUAGGAACACCUAAUUGAUAGUACGGGGACCCCGGGCAACAAAGACACUUGUCUUAUAUAUAAAACAGACUGUGGCUGUAAAUUUGUCUACUGGGGAUUGGUGGAGUAUGAAAUACCUAUUUAGCAUGAAUAUCACCCUGGCCUUGUAGGUGCUGGGGGUCUGUCAACACAUGUGCUGUAGGUGUUUACCACAAACGACCACCGGAUGUCGGCGCCAUCUUUAGCCGCUCCCUACAGGACACAAAAGCCUAUUUCUAGAAGUUUCGUGAACAGCUGCCCAGAUUGGGAAGCGUGCAAAUAACACAUCAAAAGGAAAAUGAUUAAAUAAAUGUUAGCAUUCACACUGUGCAGUUAGAGUUCUGUCAACCUGCCACAAGCUAGAGUCAUCUGGGAAGAGAGAACCUCAAUAGAGAAAAUGCUUUCAUCAUGGCCUAUAGGCAAAGACUGUAAGGUAUUUUCUUGAUUAACUACUGAUGUGGGUCAGUCCACUAUGAGCGGCGCUCUCCCUAGGCAUGUGGUCCUGAGUUGUAUUUUUAAAAGUAGGCUGAGGGAACCAUGAAGAACAACCUAGUAAGCAGCACUCCUCCAUGGAUUCUUCAUUAGCCUCUGUCUCCAGAUUUGCUGCCUAGACUUCCCUCACUGGUGGACAGUGUGAGACCCUUGACAAAUAAACCCUUUCCUCCCU
Molecule: non-coding RNA, 1404 nt
Organism: Rattus norvegicus (Norway rat)
Lineage: Eukaryota; Metazoa; Chordata; Mammalia; Rodentia; Muridae
Source: RefSeq, a predicted model, not a curated record